RNAcentral lists this ribosomal RNA (454 nucleotides) under Alcaligenes sp. EE2-3. RNAcentral describes it as "bacterial SSU rRNA". It matches the Rfam family "Bacterial small subunit ribosomal RNA", at positions 30 to 482 of the family's 1533-position model. The record is from RNAcentral. Lineage: Bacteria; Pseudomonadati; Pseudomonadota; Betaproteobacteria; Burkholderiales; Alcaligenaceae.
AUUUAAACCCUAGCGGGAUNCUUUACACCNUCAAAUCGAACGGCAGCGCGAGAGAGCUUGCUCUCUUGGCGGNGAGGGGCGGACGGGUGAGUAAUAUAUCGGAACGUGCCCAGUAGCGGGGGAUAACUACUCGAAAAGAGUGGCUAAUACCGCAUACGCCNUACGGGGGAAAGGGGGGGAUCGCAAGACCUCUCACUAUUGGAGCGGCCGAUAUCGGAUUAGCUAGUUGGUGGGGUAAAGGCUCACCAAGGCAACGAUCCGUAGCUGGUUUGAGAGGACGACCAGCCACACUGGGACUGAGACACGGCCCAGACUCCUACGGGAGGCAGCAGUGGGGAAUUUUGGACAAUGGGGGAAACCCUGAUCCAGCCAUCCCGCGUGUAUGAUGAAGGCCUUCGGGUUGUAAAGUACUUUUGGCAGAGAAGAAAAGGUAUCCCCUAAUACGGGAUACUGC